This is a long non-coding RNA of Dermacentor albipictus, 1025 nucleotides long. RefSeq lists it as uncharacterized. NCBI's taxonomy places the organism in Eukaryota, Metazoa, Arthropoda, Arachnida, Ixodida, Ixodidae. The record is from RefSeq and is a predicted model, not a curated record.
GUUCAUCGGAAGUUCUACAGUGCUUGCGCCAGAAAGACGUCGGUGCCUCGGUACCUUUGAGACGAAGGAGCGUUGGCCAAGUCUUUUUGAAAGGCUAUGCGGAUUCUGGAGGCAUCCCUGCAUCGAGCAGGAACCUGCUGCACUGCUGGAAGCUGGACAGCACGACAAUAAAGCACGUGAUCUGUGCGCUUUCUCAAAGGUAGACAUCGGCGACGGUGUAUAUGUUGAAAAGGGCCUGCUGAAGAGGCUGCGCCUGGAUGCUAACAACUCGGGCUUUCAGUUUGCGGGGGGCCUCCUUAAGGCUCCUUUUACAAAAGAAGAGGUUGAAGGGAGGCGCUACACAUGGAUGCGCAGCGAUUGUUUGUGACAGCGUCACUGCUGGCAGGCCUGGCCUGCCUUUUCGCUUUGUUCUGGGUCUUCCACGUUAUCUACUCGAAAAAGGCCCACAGGAUUUUGACAUUUAUUGAGCACUGCUUUCUGGAUUUUUGCUACACAAAGCCGCAGGUGAAAGCAUUGGAUUUCGUCAAUUUUUACAAGAACUAUUGCUAGGCAAAAAAAUUUUCAGAUGCAUAUCCUCAAGAAAGUUUCUGUCAAAAUUAUUUUGCCUAACAAAAGCACUCGUGGGUUCUGUGGCUGACAGGUUGCCCAAGCCAUGUAGCACAGUGCUUGCUUUGAAGGGACACGAAAAAGAAAAUUUAUUUGAGCUUUAUUAAAUCAUUCUUCUACAACACCGAAAAAAAAACUCCCACCAUGAGAAUUGGCUUGAUAAGCCAGAUAACUUGCAAAAACGAAAACUGGUGUCGCCACCACCACCUUAUAGUUCCUGCACCAGCUCGCUGUGAUAUGGAAUUUGACGGUGUCUGUUCGGGUCUAGCUAAUGUUCUACUGGCCAAUAUUGAUGAAUUCUGUUGUAAAGGUGUCAAAGAAUAUACUUAGUUGAAGUAUGACUCCACACUGAUGUGCGGACACUGCAUAAAACUUGAAAAAUGAAAGUUAAAUCUUCAUUUUCUCAUCUAAUAAUCCGC